CCCUUAGAUGUUCUGGGCUGCACGCGCGCUACACUGAUGCGUUCAACGAGUGUAUCACCUUGCCCGAUAGGGUUGGGUAAUCUUUUGAACACGCAUCGUGAUGGGGAUAGAUUAUUGCAAUUAUUAAUCUUCAACGAGGAAUUCCUAGUAAUGAUGAAUCAUCAGUUCAUCGUGAUUACGUCCCUGCCCUUUGUACACACCGCCCGUCGCUCCUACAGAUUGAGCAGUCCGGUGAAUAAUUCGGACUGCGGCAUUGACCGGUUCCCGAUCGUUGCUGCGGAAAGUUUAGUGAACCUUAUCACUUAGAGGAAGGAGAAGUCGUAACA
Molecule: ribosomal RNA, 326 nt
Filed under: uncultured eukaryote
Lineage: Eukaryota
Description: partial 18S ribosomal RNA
Rfam family: Eukaryotic small subunit ribosomal RNA
Source: RNAcentral